Molecule: small nuclear RNA, 107 nt
Organism: Aotus nancymaae (Ma's night monkey)
Lineage: Eukaryota; Metazoa; Chordata; Mammalia; Primates; Aotidae
Source: Ensembl
GUGCUCGCUUUGGCAGCACAUAUACUAAAAUUGGAAUGAUACAGAGAAGAUUAGCAUGGCCCCUGCACAAGGAUGACACGCAAAUUCGUGAAGCAUUCCAUAUUUUU